This is a non-coding RNA of Nitrospira bacterium SG8_3, 356 nucleotides long. NCBI's taxonomy places the organism in Bacteria, Pseudomonadati, Nitrospirota, Nitrospiria. The record is from Rfam.
GGGGGCGAAACGGCUUCGACGGGAAUAUGGAAGCAUAGGUGGCAUACCGAGCGCCGUCAGCUCGUAAAAAAGGCGGAACUAAAAUAAUCGCAGACGAUUAUAACUACGCCUUAGCCGCGUAAUGUAGGCUAACGUCCCGCCGGGUUUUUCCUGCGGACCCGGAUGAGGGCGUCGAUCAGCAGGAUAGCCUCUAGCGACCGCUUGUUGCGCAUGAGGCGAAAUGAUUGGCAAGCUAGCCCCUGCGGCAUCCUGCCUGAAAGAGGCCUCGUGGGGCGAAAUGAAAAAUUCAGGCUAUGUAUGUAGAAGCCUAUGUGGAAUAUUAUCGGACGCGGGUUCGACUCCCGCCGCCUCCACCA